CAAGGUCAAGCCGUGGCGAGUAACGAGUUUAAACGACAAGUUUGGGCGGCAUAAGAUCGUUGAUCUUAAGACUGACCAGAGCAGUUGCGCUGGGACCCGAAAGGUGGUGAACUAUGCCUGAGUAGGCAAAGCAGAGGAAACUCUGUGGAGGCUCGUACGGUGCUGACGUGCAAAUCGCUCGUCGAACUUGGGUAUAGGGCGAAAGACUAAUCGAACCAUCUAGUAGCUGGUUCCCUCCGAAGUUUCUCUCAGGAUAGCGGGCCGACAAGUUGUUUUGUGCGGUAAAGCGAAUGAUUAGCGCAUUUGGGGGCGUUUAGCCUUCGGGCGAUUCUCAAACUUUCAAUGCGCAAGGGUGCCGCUGCUUAAUUGAGCGGUACCGGUAAAAACGUCGACCCNGUGGGCCACUUUUGGUAAGCAGAACUGGCGAUACGGGAUGAACCGUAAGCAAGGUUAAGGCGCCAAACUGCCCGCUUAUAGAUCCCACAAAAGGUGUUGAUUCAUCGAGACAGCAGGACGGUGGCCAUGGAAGUCGGAAUCCGCCAAGGAGUGUGUAACAACUCACCUGCCGAAUGAAUUAGCCCUGAAAAUGGAUGGCGCUGAAGCGGCGGCCGACACCUUGCCGUCUGAACAAGAAUUUCAGAUGAGUAGGAGGGCGUGGCGAUCGUGUCGAAGCACGCGUGCAGACGCAUGUGGAACGGUCGCUAGUGCAGAUCUUGGUGGUAGUAGCAAGUAUUCAAGCGAGAUCCUUGAAGGGCGAAGUGGGGAAGGGUUUCACGCGAACAUUGAUUGGGCGUGAGUGAGUCGUUCCUAAGCCGCGUGGCAAUUGCUAAUUACCGGCGAAAGGGAAGCGGGUUGACAUUCCCGCACACGGAUGUGGAGGCGGCGACGCAUUAUUGGGGCGAACACGCUGGCGAUGGCGCUGGGCAGAGUUGUCUUUUCUGUUUGACCGCUUGCGCACGCAGUGUGGAAUUCUCUUGUAGGGAGAAACACSCGUGUACGGCCAGAGCGCUGGGGCUUUUCCAGCGUCANUCGCAUNACGGCCUUGAACU
This 1049-nucleotide ribosomal RNA is filed under the name Ahnfeltiopsis devoniensis. RNAcentral's name for it is "LSU rRNA". It matches the Rfam family "Eukaryotic large subunit ribosomal RNA", at positions 710 to 1812 of the family's 3401-position model. The record is from RNAcentral. Lineage: Eukaryota; Rhodophyta; Florideophyceae; Gigartinales; Phyllophoraceae.